RNAcentral lists this ribosomal RNA (496 nucleotides) under uncultured bacterium. Its description in RNAcentral is "partial 16S ribosomal RNA". It matches the Rfam family "Bacterial small subunit ribosomal RNA", at positions 28 to 506 of the family's 1533-position model. The record is from RNAcentral.
GAUGAACGCUGGCGGCGUGCCUAAUACAUGCAAGUCGAGCGAACAGACGAGGAGCUUGCUCCUCUGACGUUAGCGGCGGACGGGUGAGUAACACGUGGAUAACCUACCUAUAAGACUGGGAUAACUUCGGGAAACCGGAGCUAAUACCGGAUAAUAUAUUGAACCGCAUGGUUCAAUAGUGAAAGACGGUUUUGCUGUCACUUAUAGAUGGAUCCGCGCCGCAUUAGCUAGUUGGUAAGGUAACGGCUUACCAAGGCAACGAUGUGUAGCCGACCUGAGAGGGUGAUCGGCCACACUGAAACUGAGACACGGUCCAGACUCCUACGGGAGGCAGCAGUAGGGAAUCUUCCGCAAUGGGCGAAAGCCUGACGGAGCAACGCCGCGUGAGUGAUGAAGGUCUUCGGAUCGUAAAACUCUGUUAUUAGGGAAGAACAAAUGUGUAAGUAACUAUGCACGUCUUGACGGUACCUAAUCAGAAAGCCACGGCUAACUACGU